This 67-nucleotide small RNA is filed under the name Acididesulfobacillus acetoxydans. RNAcentral's name for it is "Peptococcaceae bacterium INE non-coding RNA". Lineage: Bacteria; Bacillati; Bacillota; Clostridia; Eubacteriales; Peptococcaceae. The record is from RNAcentral.
GUUUCAAUUCCUCAUAGGCAGGCUAUCGGCUUCCUUCCAAUUCAUAGUCAUUUUAAACCAACCUCCG